UGGGGAAUAUUGGACAAUGGGCGCAAGCCUGAUCCAGCCAUGCCGCGUGAGUGAUGAAGGCCCUAGGGUUGUAAAGCUCUUUCACCGGUGAAGAUAAUGACGGUAACCGGAGAAGAAGCCCCGGCUAACUUCGUGCCAGCAGCCGCGGUAAUACGAAGGGGGCUAGCGUUGUUCGGAUUUACUGGGCGUAAAGCGCACGUAGGCGGACUUUUAAGUCAGGGGUGAAAUCCCGGGGCUCAACCCCGGAACUGCCUUUGAUACUGGAAGUCUUGAGUAUGGUAGAGGUGAGUGGAAUUCCGAGUGUAGAGGUGAAAUUCGUAGAUAUUCGGAGGAACACCAGUGGAGAAGGCGGCUCACUGGACCAUUACUGACGCUGAGGUGCGAAAGCGUGGGGAGCAAACAGG
RNAcentral lists this ribosomal RNA (404 nucleotides) under Actinomycetes bacterium. RNAcentral's name for it is "Actinobacteria bacterium partial 16S ribosomal RNA". It matches the Rfam family "Bacterial small subunit ribosomal RNA", at positions 355 to 776 of the family's 1533-position model. Lineage: Bacteria; Bacillati; Actinomycetota; Actinomycetes. The record is from RNAcentral.